RNAcentral lists this ribosomal RNA (465 nucleotides) under uncultured bacterium. Its description in RNAcentral is "partial 16S ribosomal RNA". It matches the Rfam family "Bacterial small subunit ribosomal RNA", at positions 338 to 795 of the family's 1533-position model. The record is from RNAcentral.
CCUACGGGUGGCAGCAGUGGGGAAUAUUGCGCCAUGGGCGAAAGCCUGACGCAGCGACGCCGCGUGAGGGAUGAAGGUCUUCGGAUCGUAAACCUCUGUCAGCAGGGCAGAACGGUCACUGUGCUAAUCAGCAGUGAAUUGACGGUACCUGCAAAGGAAGCACCGGCUAACUCUGUGCCACCAGCCGCGGUAAUACGGAGGGUGCGAGCGUUAAUCGGACGUACUGGGCGUAAAGCGCUCGUAGGCGGUAUGUCAAGUCAAGGGUGAAAUCCCCGCGCUCAACGUGGGAACUGCCUUUGAAACUGGCAAACUGGAGUGUGUGAGAGGAUAGUGGAAUUCCAGGUGUAGGAGUGAAAUCCGUAGAUAUCUGGAGGAACAUCAGUGGCGAAGGCGACUAUCUGGCACAUAACUGACGCUGAGGAGCGAAAGCGUGGGUAGCAAACAGGAUUAGAUACCCGGGUAGUC